Molecule: ribosomal RNA, 492 nt
Filed under: uncultured bacterium
Lineage: Bacteria
Description: partial 16S ribosomal RNA
Rfam family: Bacterial small subunit ribosomal RNA
Source: RNAcentral
AGUGAACGCUGGCGGUAUGCCUAACACAUGCAAGUCGAGCGGCCGCACAGUAAGCUCUUUCUUUUACGGUUGGCGAGUGACGGACGGGUGAGAAGUACAUCACAAACUUCUUAGACUUGGGGAACAUCGUGGAGCAACUUCCACUACUGCAUCAUAUGACCUACGGCUGAAAUCAGUAGAUCAUCGCACCUUGCCCGACUCAUUGAGCCGAUGUCGGAUUAGCUAGUUGGCGAGGUAAAGGCCCACCAAGGCGACGAUGCGUAGCUGGUCUGAGAGGAUGAUCCGCCACACUGGAACUGAGACACGGUCCAGACUCCUACGGGAGGCAGCAGUGGGGAAUAUUGCGCAAUGGGCGAAAGCCUGAUCCAGCCAUACCGCGUGGGUGAAGAAGGCCUUCGGGUUGUAAAACCCUUUUGUUGGGAAAGAAAAAAAGCAGGUUAAUACCCCGCUGUUCUGACGGUACCCAAAGAAUAAGCACCGGCUAACUUCGUG